This 208-nucleotide ribosomal RNA is filed under the name uncultured bacterium. RNAcentral's name for it is "partial 16S ribosomal RNA". It matches the Rfam family "Bacterial small subunit ribosomal RNA", at positions 1293 to 1500 of the family's 1533-position model. The record is from RNAcentral.
UCAGAUUGAGGGCUGCAACCCGCCCUCAUGAAGUCGGAGUUGCUAGUAAUCGCGGAUCAGCAUGCCGCGGUGAAUACGUUCCCGGGCCUUGUACACACCGCCCGUCACACCAUGGGAGUUGGGAGCACCCGAAGCCGGUGAGGUAACCGAAAGGAGCCAGCCGUCGAAGGUGAGACCAAUGACUGGGGUGAAGUCGUAACAAGGUAGC